Molecule: transfer RNA, 91 nt
Filed under: Chloroflexota bacterium
Lineage: Bacteria; Bacillati; Chloroflexota
Description: tRNA-Ser
Rfam family: tRNA
About the family: Transfer RNA (tRNA) molecules are approximately 80 nucleotides in length. Their secondary structure includes four short double-helical elements and three loops (D, anti-codon, and T loops). Further hydrogen bonds mediate the characteristic L-shaped molecular structure. tRNAs have two regions of fundamental functional importance: the anti-codon, which is responsible for specific mRNA codon recognition, and the 3' end, to which the tRNAs corresponding amino acid is attached (by aminoacyl-tRNA synthetases). tRNAs cope with the degeneracy of the genetic code in two manners: having more than one tRNA (with a specific anti-codon) for a particular amino acid; and 'wobble' base-pairing, i.e. permitting non-standard base-pairing at the 3rd anti-codon position.
Source: RNAcentral
GGAGGGAUAGCCUAGUCGGUCUAAGGCGGUCGCCUGCUAAGCGAUUGUGGGUCCUUAAAGCCCACCGUGGGUUCGAAUCCCACUCCCUCCG